Molecule: ribosomal RNA, 253 nt
Filed under: uncultured bacterium
Lineage: Bacteria
Description: partial 16S ribosomal RNA
Rfam family: Bacterial small subunit ribosomal RNA
Source: RNAcentral
AACGUAGGAGACAAACGCUAUCCGGAGUUACUGGGCGUAAAGGGCGUGUAGGCGGUUUGUUAAGUCUGGCGUGAAAGCUCUCGGCUAAACCGGGAGAGGUCGUUGGAUACUGGCAAACUAGAGGAUGGUAGAGGCGUGUGGAAUUCCGGGUGUAGUGGUGAAAUGCGUAGAGAUCCGGAGGAACACCAGUGGCGAAGGCGACACGCUGGGCCAUACCUGACGCUAAAGCGCGACAGCAUGGGGAGCAAACGGG